This 433-nucleotide ribosomal RNA is filed under the name uncultured bacterium. RNAcentral describes it as "partial 16S ribosomal RNA". It matches the Rfam family "Bacterial small subunit ribosomal RNA", at positions 29 to 507 of the family's 1533-position model. The record is from RNAcentral.
AGCGAACGCUGGCGGCAGGCCUAACACAUGCAAGUCGAACGAACUCUUCGGAGUUAGUGGCGGACGGGGGGGUAACACGUGGGAACGUGCCUUUUGGUUCGGAAUAACACAGGGAAACUUGUGCUAAUACCGAAUGUGCCCUUCGGGGGAAAGAUUUAUCGCCAUUAGAGCGGCCCGCGUCUGCUUAGCUAGUUGGUGAGGUAACGGCGGACCAAGGCGACGAUCAGUAGCUGGGCUGAGAGGAUGACCAGCCACACUGGGACUGAGACACGGCCCAGACUCCUGCGGGAGGCAGCAGUGGGGAAUCUUGCGCAAUGGGCGAAAGCCUGACGCAGCCAUGCCGCGUGAAUGAUGAAGGUCUUAGGAUUGUAAAAUUCUUUCACCGGGGACGAUAAUGACGGUACCCGGAGAAGAAGCCCCGGCUAACUUCGUG